CCUCAGUUCGUCAGCUGUCCUUUCGUUCUUUUAUUUUUCUCUUUCGUGGAUGCCAUGUUCUUUGGAAGUUUAAGACCAAGUGAAUGGCCUUUUAGGCUUCCUCCACAUGA
This is a long non-coding RNA of Myotis davidii, 110 nucleotides long. RefSeq lists it as uncharacterized. The record is from RefSeq and is a predicted model, not a curated record. The transcript is spliced from 3 exons. Lineage: Eukaryota; Metazoa; Chordata; Mammalia; Chiroptera; Vespertilionidae.